Mus musculus (house mouse) is the source of this 280-nucleotide non-coding RNA. NCBI's taxonomy places the organism in Eukaryota, Metazoa, Chordata, Mammalia, Rodentia, Muridae. The record is from the annotation of a RefSeq genome assembly.
GGAUGAGCCAAGGUCAGCAUGUGUAAGAGCUUUCUUUCAUCCUAAGAGGCCAGAAGGGUCCAGUGCCAUCAUCAACUGCACUUAUGUAGACAGUGCCUCUCUCUGCUUCCCUUGCUAUAAGCAAGAACCUGGAAAGCAUCCUAAGCUCUCCAUUGGCAUUUGUUCAGCUAUGGAAAGAAAAGAGACCCUGAGAAUUCUACUGGACAAGAAAGCUAAACCCUUCUCCCUACACAUCAUAAACAGCCUGCUGACUAAGCUAUGCACUUCUGUGCCACAAGUG